RNAcentral lists this long non-coding RNA (890 nucleotides) under Homo sapiens (human). RNAcentral describes it as "HSALNT0105243". Lineage: Eukaryota; Metazoa; Chordata; Mammalia; Primates; Hominidae. The record is from RNAcentral.
GCUUGUGAGUCACCUGAGGGGGCAGCCACGGGAAGAUGGGCAUGAGAGGCUUCCAGGAACAGGGCAGCAAAGGCAAAGGUCUUCAGAGCAGCCAACCCCAGGCGGGUUAUUUAAUUGCUGUAAGCUUCAGUUUCUUCAUCUUAAAAUGAGAACUAUGAUGAUAAAUUAACACCGAGUAUUUACUAUGUGCCAGCACAAUUUUUUUUAUUUUAAUUUUUUAUUUUUAUUUUUUCUUUUUUAGAGACAGGGUCUCACUCUGUCACCCAGGCUGGAGUGUAGGAGCACAAUCAUAGCUCACUGCAGCCUCGAAUUCCUGGGCUCAAGCGAUCUUCCUGCUUCAGCCUCAGCCUCCUGAGUAGCUGGGACUGCAGGUGGCCACCACGAUGCCCAGUUAAUUGUUUUAUUUUUUGUGGAGAUGGGGUCUCGCUAUGUUGCCCAGGCUGAUCUCGAAUCCUGGACUCAAGUAAUCCUCUGGGCUUGGCCUCCCAAAGUGUUGGGAUUAUAGGCAUGAGCCACUGUGCCCAGCCCAGGCACAAUUCUAAAUGCCUUACAUGUAUGGACUCAUUUAGUCCUCACAAUGGCUCUCAGAUUUAUGUACUACUGUUAUCCUGCCAUUUUUACAGAAACUGAGGAAACUGAGGCACAGAGAGGAUAAGGUCACCAGCUGGUAAGUGGCAGAGCCAGGACUUGAGCCCAGGCUGGGUGGCUCAGAGCCGUGCUCUUGGCCACUCCCUCAGGCACCUCUUCAGGCCCCCUUGCAGCAUUAUCAUCGUAAACCAUGUGCGUGGUGUGUUUAUACACCUGGUGUAGCCUUGGCCAGUGCCAGCACAAAGUAAGCCAACACAUCGCAGUGUAAACAUUUUUAGAUGCAAAUAUUCCAGAAUGUCAGC